RNAcentral lists this ribosomal RNA (119 nucleotides) under Beta vulgaris subsp. vulgaris (sugar beet). Lineage: Eukaryota; Viridiplantae; Streptophyta; Magnoliopsida; Caryophyllales; Amaranthaceae. The record is from RNAcentral.
GGGUGCGAUCAUACCAGCAGUAAUGCACCGGAUCCCAUUAGAACUUCGUAGUUAAGCAUGCUUGGGCGAGAGUAGUACUAGGUUGGGUGACCUCAUAGGAAGUCCUCGUGUUGCGCCCG